CCUACGGGAGACAGCAGUGGGGAAUAUUGCACAAUGGGCGAAACCCUGAUGCAGCAAAGCCGCGUGAAGGAAGACGGUUUUCUGAUUGUAAACUUCUGUUUUUAGUGAAGAAUAAGGACGGUAGCUAAGGAGCUAGCCACGGCUAACUACGUGCCAGCAGCCGCGGUAAUACGUAGGUGGCAAGCGUGGUCCGGAAUUACUGGGUGUAAAGGGAGCGCAGGCGGGAAGACAAGUCAGCUGUGAAAACUACGGGCUCAACUUGUAGACUGCAGUUGAAACUGGUUUUCUUGAGUGAAGUAGAGGUUGGCGGAAUUCCGGGUGUAGCGGUGAAAUGCGUAGAUAUUCGGAGGAACACCGAUGGCGAAGGCAGCCAACUGGGCUUUAACUGACGCUGAGGCUCGAAAGUGUGGGGAGCAAACAGGAUUAGAUACCCUAGUAGUC
This 441-nucleotide ribosomal RNA is filed under the name uncultured bacterium. RNAcentral's name for it is "partial 16S ribosomal RNA". It matches the Rfam family "Bacterial small subunit ribosomal RNA", at positions 338 to 795 of the family's 1533-position model. The record is from RNAcentral.